This 481-nucleotide ribosomal RNA is filed under the name uncultured bacterium. RNAcentral's name for it is "partial 16S ribosomal RNA". It matches the Rfam family "Bacterial small subunit ribosomal RNA", at positions 28 to 507 of the family's 1533-position model. The record is from RNAcentral.
GAUGAACGCUGGCGGCGUGCUUAACACAUGCAAGUCGAACGAAGCAUUUAGGACAGAUUACUUCGGUUUGAAGUUCUUUAUGACUGAGUGGCGGACGGGUGAGUAACGCGUGGGUAACCUGCCUUGUACUGGGGGAUAGCAGCUGGAAACGGCUGGUAAUACCGCAUAAGCGCACAAUGUUGCAUGACAUGGUGUGAAAAACUCCGGUGGUAUAGGAUGGACCCGCGUCUGAUUAGCUAGUUGGUGAGAUAACAGCCCACCAAGGCGACGAUCAGUAGCCGACCUGAGAGGGUGACCGGCCACAUUGGGACUGAGACACGGCCCAGACUCCUACGGGAGGCAGCAGUGGGGAAUAUUGCACAAUGGAGGAAACUCUGAUGCAGCGACGCCGCGUGAGUGAAGAAGUAAUUCGUUAUGUAAAGCUCUAUCAGCAGGGAAGAUAGUGACGGUACCUGACUAAGAAGCUCCGGCUAAAUACGUG